UAUAAACAAUGUCUUGAAGACGUAUGUAAUCACAGCAUGAUCAGUGUUAUUUUAUCUGUUUACAUAUUUCAGAGGCAAUAAAUUUUGCUUUUGUUAAUAGAAUCAGGCCAAGAUGUCUCGUAGAACCCAGUCUGAUAUUUUGGCAAAUGAGGCAACAUUAAAAAGUAGAGUUAAAGAGCUUGAGUCUGAGGUGCUCAGUCUGAAACGUCGUCUCGAUGAAUUGAGGAAAGCAAAGAACACAACUGUGUUAAAACGUGAGAGAGAAGUGCUUCAAGUAGGAGUACCAUUUGGUAAAAGAGAUUCUUCAGAUGAACCAAAAGUUGAAAAUUUGAUGAAACAACUAGAUGACAAAGAUAAAUUAAGAGAAACAGAGAUUGAAAAACUACGCAAAAAGUUUACCAAGGAAAUGGAGGAUCUAUCCAAAAUUCAGUCAAAGGAAAAGGGAGCUUGCAACCAUGAGCCAAUAAUCAAAGAACUGAAUACGAGAGUUGGUGAAUUGGAAGCUGACAAAGCUGCAAUUAUGAUAGAGAACCAGGACCUCAAGGAAAAAGUGGACACUCUCCUGAUGCAACUAAGUGUAAAAGAGGCGCAGUGGUGUGAAACAGAGGAACAACUCAAUAUGAAGUUGAAGAAACAAUGGAGUGAGAAGUACCAAGAAUGGAUGGCAGAAACUGAGAGGAAGAUUGAAGCAUUACAACAGGCAAACACUAUGCUACAAGGUUUACUACGGAGGCAACGACCGCCAGGGGAUGACCAGCCUUUACCCCCAAGAUGAUGUCAGUCUCUUCCCCCAAUUUGAUGUCAGCUUCCAUGUUCCCCAUAUGUGAUGUCAGUCUCUAUCUCAAGUGACACCAGUACAGGACUAUUACAAAAUGUUACAUAAACGGUGAGAGCAACAACUGAGUUAUCUGCUUAUGCCUAUUACCCAAGGGACUAGAUGGACAAAGGCAAGCUUUAGAUGCUGUAAUAUAGGCAAAACUCAAACAAAAAUAAUUCAAGAAUAUUUUGCCUGUACAAAUAUAAGAUUUUCAGAGUUGCAUAAAUAUUUACUUGGAAUAUGUUAGUAGGGUAACAUAAAGAUAUUUUGUUGUGUUAUACCUAAAACGAUGUGUGUAUUUGAGAUAAAACUGGAGAAACCCGAUGACAAGGUAUGAAGUAAUUAUUCAUUAAAAAUCAUACUGUAUCUCUUGUGUUAGGUCUUUCAUUCAUCCAUAGUUUUUGGCUUCACUCAUGUGUAGA
This 1239-nucleotide unclassified non-coding RNA is filed under the name Owenia fusiformis. RNAcentral describes it as "misc RNA OFUS_LOCUS21627". The record is from RNAcentral. Lineage: Eukaryota; Metazoa; Annelida; Polychaeta; Sabellida; Oweniidae.